AGUAAGUUAAUAGUAAUAGUAAAUGUAAUAUAAGAAAUACUCUAUCAAAGAUUCAGGCUUAUUUAUCUAAAAAUAAAUUCAGAAGCAUUGCUUAGAAAAAUCAGGUGGUUUAUGGUGUAGUCUCCAUAAUGAGUCCAACAAAUGGUGCUAUUUAUUAGAACAUACUGUUAUUCAAUGUUAUUCAGCACCUCUGUGGCCCACUGAGAUCUACUACAUGGCUUACAGUAAAACUCAUGAUCGAAACUUUGUGCUUUGCUUCUUAUUCUCCAACUCUUCAUAUCUAAUGGCAGUAAAUUAUAUUUAAAAAUUGUUUUUAUAAUGAAUUUAGUAUCUGUAUAGCCAUAUAUUUUUCAAAAUAUAAUGGUAGACUCAUCUUUUGUUUUUAUUUCUUGGAAUCUAUAAUGAGGCAUCAACAAACAUACCUGACAAGAAAUACAGGUUUGCGCAAAACAAAUUCCAUCACAAGAAUGAAUAAAAUUCUCAUUAGAAAAGUUAAAGGAUCCCUAGGCCUGCUGACUGAAACACACUAACAAAGACAAACGUAAACAAAGAACGGGCAGUGAGAAAUUUGGCGAUUUAGUCACCAAAUACAGAAAAAAAUAAGAUAAACAUGGGCAACUGUUUUCAGCAGUCGUCUGUGGUAGGUUACAUCAUUGUGGAGCAGAUAUUCACUCCCUUUCCUUCCUACAUGGGGGGAGUGUUCUUUCCCAUCCCUUCUUUUGUCCUGGACAUUUUCCAUGAGAAGAGCAUGUCUUUGGCAGCCAUCCCCUUGUCAGAUUGAGUUCUGAUUGGGAAGACUGGUGGAAUCGAGCUGAAUCCAGUCUGCAACCUGGAGGAAAAUCAUUAGGGUCAUCUGCAGGACUGCCUGACAUCUACCUACCUGCAAUUGGCUUCUUCUUCAAGUCUCCACGGUCUUGUCCAGAACCACAUUAUGACAUCCUCAUUUGAAAAAGGGUUUGGGUGUAGAAUAGAAUCCAUGAUCAAUCAUGCUCUAUUCUAAAUUGCUAUAUAUUCAAAAUAAUGUUAUAUCUAAAUGUGGAUUUAUUUGAUUAUUUUAUUCUCAUAGGUCCAUUAUCUCAGAUUUGGCUACAAUAUUUUGAGAAUGAGAAAGAGACUUUCAGAUCAGGAAUAUCCAGAAAAAUAAAUGAGUUUAUGAGAAUCAUUUUUCAGUGGUCUCUGCGAAAUUAAGAGUCUGCCUACAAUUAUUUAAGAGAGAAAAUAAAGUGCGUUAAAUAAAUUAGUGAACACACAAUUUAUGUCAAAUUCUUCCAAAGCUCUCAAAAGUUUAGAUCUUUACACAAUUUUGAACAUUGGCUAUAAACAAUAUCAUUCAGGACUGGUUAAAUCUAUGUAAGACUAAGGUAGGAUCUGUUAUCAACAAAUAUAUUGUAUAUCAGCUCUAAUUUAGUGAAUUUUGUUCAAGGAUGAAAUUAAAUACAAUGAUUAAAUAAUUAAAAUAAAGAUAAUAAGCAAUCUGUUAUGGGUUAUUCAAUAUAUAUGUUAUUAAUGUGAAGACUGACUUUUGUUUUAUAAUUUUUAUAGAAAAUUUGUUUUAAAGGAGAUUAUAUAAACAUAGUAGAUGAUGUUUUAUGAGAGACAUGGUGUUAUGUUUUGUGGUCAUGUCAUUGAACUAUAAUUGAAUACAUUACAUUUUUUAAAAUUUUUCAUUUUUGAGGGUAUAUAAUAUACAUAAGUUGUGGGGCAUGUAAAUUAUUUUGAUUCAGGCAUACAAUGCAUAACAAUCAUAGCAAGGUAAAUGGGUUAUCUAUCACCUCAAAUAUUUAUCCUUUUAAAGUGUUCCAAACAAUACAAUUAUACAUUUUAGUUACUUUGAAAUGCACAAUAAAUUAUUGUUGACUAUAAUCACAUGUGGUGUUAUCAAAUACUUAUUAAUUCUAGCUAUGUAUUUGUACCCAUUACCCAUUCCUAUUAUCCCUGACCCUUCCCAGCCUCUGCUAACCGUCAACAAAGUAAAGCUAUACCCCCCAAAAUGGGAGAAAAUUUUCGCAAAAUAUCAUCUGUUGAGGGAUUAAUAAGAAUAUUUAAGGAUCUCAGAGAACUCUAUAGGAAAAAAAACCAAUAAUCCAGAUAAUUCUGAAAAUAAGUCAUACAAAUGCCAAAUAGGUAUACAAAAAGGUACUCAACAUCAUUGAUAGUUAGAAAAUGCACAUCAAAACCGC
Molecule: long non-coding RNA, 2180 nt
Filed under: Homo sapiens (human)
Lineage: Eukaryota; Metazoa; Chordata; Mammalia; Primates; Hominidae
Description: HSALNT0271983
Source: RNAcentral